AGACAAUAUGUUGGUGUACUAUUAUUGACCUUUUACUAUCUCUGCUAUGACUAGGGUUAUACGAUGUGUGUAUUCACGGUUCUGUGGCAAUACUCGUAGAUGGCUUGUUGAAAGGUAAAUUGUUAUUUGCACUUCGGUAUUUAACCACGCCUCUAGGGCACACCUUGCCAGGUGUGACUGUCUAUUCGGAUCAGUGGGAGCAUUUAAUACACACAUUAAAAAUACAUAUUCAAGUUGGUGACAAAUAAAAAUUGGUCGCCGUGGAAUUAUUUAAUUAUAUUUGGUGCUAUUAUUUAUUUGAAUUCAAAUAAGUUAAUUUACUAAGAAAUACACAAUUUUCGGUUAAAGACGGGAA
This 355-nucleotide long non-coding RNA is filed under the name Mytilus galloprovincialis (Mediterranean mussel). Lineage: Eukaryota; Metazoa; Mollusca; Bivalvia; Mytilida; Mytilidae. The record is from RNAcentral.